GAUGAACGCUGACAGAAUGCUUAACACAUGCAAGUCCACUUGAAUUUGGGUUUUUAACUUAGGUUUGGGUGGCGGACGGGUGAGUAACGCGUAAAGAACUUGCCUCACAGCUAGGGACAACAUUUGGAAACGAAUGCUAAUACCUAAUAUUAUGAUAAUAGGGCAUCCUAUAAUUAUGAAAGCUAUAAGCGCUGUGAGAGAGCUUUGCGUCCCAUUAGCUAGUUGGAGAGGUAACGGCUCACCAAGGCGAUGAUGGGUAGCCGGCCUGAGAGGGUGAUCGGCCACAAGGGGACUGAGACACGGCCCGUACGCCUACGGGAGGCAGCAGUGGGGAAUAUUGGACAAUGGACCGAGAGUCUGAUCCAGCAAUUCUGUGUGCACGAUGAAGUUUUUCGGAAUGUAAAGUGCUUUCAGUUGGGAAGAAAAAAAUGACGGUACCAACAGAAGAAGUGACGGCUAAAUACGUG
This 467-nucleotide ribosomal RNA is filed under the name uncultured bacterium. RNAcentral describes it as "partial 16S ribosomal RNA". It matches the Rfam family "Bacterial small subunit ribosomal RNA", at positions 28 to 507 of the family's 1533-position model. The record is from RNAcentral.